ACGCUCGACACCUACAGGAGGCAGCAGUGGGGAAUAUUGGGCAAUGGGCGCAAGCCUGACCCAGCAACGCCGCGUGAAGGAAGAAGGCCCUCGGGUUGUAAACUUCUUUUAACAGGGACGAAGUAAGUGACGGUACCUGUUGAAUAAGCCACGGCUAACUACGUGCCAACAGCCGCGGUAAUCUGAGCGGGCUGGCAAGGC
RNAcentral lists this ribosomal RNA (201 nucleotides) under uncultured bacterium. Its description in RNAcentral is "partial 16S ribosomal RNA". It matches the Rfam family "Bacterial small subunit ribosomal RNA", at positions 328 to 539 of the family's 1533-position model. The record is from RNAcentral.